UACGAAGGGGGCUAGCGUUGUUCGGAUAUACUGGGCGUAAAGCGCACGUAGGCGGCGCCGUAAGUCAGGGGUGAAAUCCCGGAGCUCAACUCCGGAACUGCCUUUGAAACUGCAGUGCUAGAAUCCUGGAGAGGCGAGUGGAAUUCCGAGUGUAGAGGUGAAAUUCGUAGAUAUUCGGAAGAACACCAGUGGCGAAGGCGACUCGCUGGACAGGUAUUGACGCUGAGGUGCGAAAGCGUGGGGAGCAAACAGG
This 253-nucleotide unclassified non-coding RNA is filed under the name uncultured Sphingomonadaceae bacterium. RNAcentral's name for it is "contains 16S-23S intergenic spacer region". It matches the Rfam family "Bacterial small subunit ribosomal RNA", at positions 524 to 776 of the family's 1533-position model. The record is from RNAcentral. Lineage: Bacteria; Pseudomonadati; Pseudomonadota; Alphaproteobacteria; Sphingomonadales; Sphingomonadaceae.